GCCCAAUGGCACCCCCUCCCUGCGCUCGUUCAUCCAGACGCGAAGACUCAGUAAGAUCUGUCGUGCGUAGCACCUGCCGACCAGGCAUGACAAAGCGUAGCACCUGUCGGCCAGGCAUGACCUGACAUCACCACCGAAGCUCCGUGCAGGACGAAGACGCUCCACCUUCUGCCUCCGUCUUUCAGCGCUGCUCCACAAACGUUGCU
RNAcentral lists this long non-coding RNA (206 nucleotides) under Hordeum vulgare. Its description in RNAcentral is "long non-coding RNA (HVUL_LNC006376)". The record is from RNAcentral. Lineage: Eukaryota; Viridiplantae; Streptophyta; Magnoliopsida; Poales; Poaceae.